CCUACGGGAGGCAGCAGUGAGGAAUAUUGGUCAAUGGCCGGAAGGCUGAACCAGCCAUGCCGCGUGAAGGUCAGUGCCCUAUGGGCGUUAAACUUCUUUUGUGCGGGAGCAAUAAUGGUCACGUGUGGCCAGACGAGAGUACCGUACGAAUAAGCAUCGGCUAACUCCGUGCCAGCAGCCGCGGUUAUACGGGGGAUGCAAGCGUUAUCCGGAUUUAUUGGGUUUAAAGGGUGCGUAGGCUGGGAGGUAAGUCAGCGGUGAAAUGCCCCCGCUCAACGGGGUGAAGUGCCAUUGAUACUGCCUGGCUGGAAUGCGGAAGCCGUGGGAGGAAUGUGUGGUGUAGCGGUGAAAUGCAUAGAUAUCACACAGAACACCGAUUGCGAAGGCAUCUCACGAAUCCGCGAUUGACGCUGAUGCACGAAAGCGUGGGUAUCAAACAGGAUUAGAUACCCCUGUAGUC
This 460-nucleotide ribosomal RNA is filed under the name uncultured bacterium. Its description in RNAcentral is "partial 16S ribosomal RNA". It matches the Rfam family "Bacterial small subunit ribosomal RNA", at positions 338 to 795 of the family's 1533-position model. The record is from RNAcentral.